RNAcentral lists this ribosomal RNA (517 nucleotides) under uncultured bacterium. RNAcentral describes it as "bacterial SSU rRNA". It matches the Rfam family "Bacterial small subunit ribosomal RNA", at positions 46 to 574 of the family's 1533-position model. The record is from RNAcentral.
GCUUACCAUGCAACUUGAACGAAGCAAUUUUGAGCUUACUUGAGAUUGACUUAGUAGCGGACGGGUGAGUAACGCGUGAGUAACCUACCUUUGUGAGGGGGACAACAGCUGGAAACGGCUGCUAAUACCGCAUAAGGCCACAGCAUCGAGUGAUGCAGUGGUAAAAGAUUUAUCGCACAAAGAUGGACUCGCGUCCCAUUAGCUAGUUGGUAAGGUAACGGCUUACCAAGGCAUCGAUGGGUAGCCGACCUGAGAGGGUGAUCGGCCACACUGGAACUGAGACACGGUCCAGACUCCUACGGGAGGCAGCAGUGGGGAAUAUUGGGCAAUGGGCGCAAGCCUGACCCAGCAACGCCGCGUGAGGGAAGAAUGUCUUCGGAUUGUAAACCUCUGUCCUUGGGGACGAAAAAAAUGACGGUACCCAAGGAGGAAGCUCCGGCUAACUACGUGCCAGCAGCCGCGGUAAUACGUAGGGAGCAAGCGUUGUCCGGAAUUAUUGGGCGUAAAGGGCGCGUAG